CUGUAAUUCUGGCAACACUGAACAUCAUGACCAUGAUUGUGAUUACAAUUCUGCUGAUAGUGAUUCAAAAGAUCCACAUUAGAGAUACCUUGAAUCAUCCCAGAAAACAAUGGAAGCAGAUCGUGGAUACUGAUACUUUAAACCCAGAAGAGACACGAGUCCUUUAUACCCAUUCCAUCAAGCACUAGCUGACAGUAAUGAUGGCUGAAAACAUUAUUACCGCAUAUUUGUUGAGGACUGAUGAUU
Molecule: long non-coding RNA, 246 nt
Organism: Carassius auratus (goldfish)
Lineage: Eukaryota; Metazoa; Chordata; Actinopteri; Cypriniformes; Cyprinidae
Exons: 3
Source: RefSeq, a predicted model, not a curated record